This 198-nucleotide ribosomal RNA is filed under the name uncultured bacterium. Its description in RNAcentral is "partial 16S ribosomal RNA". It matches the Rfam family "Bacterial small subunit ribosomal RNA", at positions 335 to 523 of the family's 1533-position model. The record is from RNAcentral.
ACUCCUACGGAAGGCAGCAGUGGGGAAUCUUGCGCAAUGGGGGAAACCCGUAGACGCAGCAACACCGCGUGAGGGAAGACGGCCUUAGGGUUGUAAACCUCUUUCAGAUGGGACGAAGGUGAUGCGGUGAAUAGCCGAUGUCAUUGACGGUACCGUCAGAAGAAGCACCGGCUAACUACGUGCCAGCAGCCGCGGUAA